This 425-nucleotide ribosomal RNA is filed under the name uncultured bacterium. RNAcentral's name for it is "partial 16S ribosomal RNA". It matches the Rfam family "Bacterial small subunit ribosomal RNA", at positions 354 to 796 of the family's 1533-position model. The record is from RNAcentral.
GUGGGGAAUCUUGCGCAAUGGGCGAAAGCCUGACGCAGCCAUGCCGCGUGAAUGAUGAAGGUCUUAGGAUUGUAAAAUUCUUUCACCGGGGACGAUAAUGACGGUACCCGGAGAAGAAGCCCCGGCUAACUUCGUGCCAGCAGCCGCGGUAAUACGAAGGGGGCUAGCGUUACUCGGAAUUACUGGGCGUAAAGGGCGCGUAGGCGGACAGUUUAGUCAGAGGUGAAAGCCCAGGGCUCAACCUUGGAAUUGCCUUUGAUACUGGCUGUCUUGAGUACGGGGGAGGUGAGUGGAACUCCGAGUGUAGAGGUGAAAUUCGUAGAUAUUCGGAAGAACACCAGUGGCGAAGGCGACUCACUGGCCCGUUACUGACGCUGAGGCGCGAAAGCGUGGGGAGCAAACAGGAUUAGAAACCCUGGUAGUCC